GCUGGCGUGUCGUGCUCAGCCAUUAUGGUUGAUGAACCGUAGUAGUAGAAUAUAGAAGAAGAUCAAUAGUAUUGAAAAAAAAUUAGGUUAUGAGAUCUUAGCUCUGAUACCAUAAAAUAUAAUGUAAAGUGUGUGUUUAUUCAUCAACCAAUGUUGGUACUUAUACAACGAGAAUAUAGAAUAUAGCAACACGUAGAUAAACCUAAGUCCCUAGUAUAUAGGAAUACAUCAUUAUCCCUUUAAUUAUUCACAACAACGGAUUUAAUCCAUGUCACAUAAUAUAUCUACUAACAUUUGGUUAACUGUGGCGUGUGAACUUUCUAUAAAACAUUGGUUUGGUGUGUGAUUGUGUUGGUCGUUGUGGUUACUGUUUUGUGGUCGUGAAGGCAGCUUAGCAUAAUGACAAUGGACCGGACAAGUCAAACAAGUCUUUUGUUGUCGGUUAGUCUUGGGUGCGUACCUAACUGUAUUGCUGUUUGUUGUUGAACAUUAAAAUGUGAAGAAAGAGUCUUUCAUUUU
Molecule: long non-coding RNA, 519 nt
Filed under: Brassica napus (rape)
Lineage: Eukaryota; Viridiplantae; Streptophyta; Magnoliopsida; Brassicales; Brassicaceae
Description: long non-coding RNA (BNAP_LNC026962)
Source: RNAcentral